CUUAGGAAUAGACGAGUGAGUAGUAUGCUUCCUGGUUAACAAAUACCCAUGCCGAAGGCCAUGGUUUUCUACCCCAGUGUUUGUAGCCUAUAGAGGGUUGCCAGUUGACUUUUACUUUGGCGGCCUUAUUGGAAGACCACCGCAUCAAUUCUUUCGACAACAACUGCUGAGUGGCUAACCCAAGCUGCAUGAUAACAGUGCCUAAAACAAGUUGUUCAUCACCACGGUCAAUUUCUGUGCAACAAGAUAGGAAAGACAACAGGUUUUUUUUACAGAUAACACGCAAUCAUGAAACACCAAGGAGAUAAGACUCAAGAACUGACAGAAAACCGAAGAAACCUUUUUACCCAUCCAGACCUGCACUCAGACAGCUGUCAGUACAGGAUCUGCUCCGAUCAUUUCAUCACUGCUGACCUCUAUCAGAACACCCAUGUAGACUGGAUUCCCACUGUGAAGACGAGCAACGCUGCAGCAGCAUCAGUUUCUACUUCCACAACUUUGUCCCUUUCCCUCAGUUAUACAACGUGGUUGUCAUAUGCUGUGUUUUGGUCAAUGUUUGUCAUAAGCUGUGCUUUGGUCAAUCUGAAUGAUUUUGUUGUGCCAUUUAAGUAGAGAUGUCACGACUUCCGCCGAAGUCAGUCCCACUCCUUGUUCGGGCGCCGUUCGGCGGUCGACGUCACCGGCCUUCUAACAAUCGCCGAUCCACUUUUCAUUUUCCAUUUGUUUUGUCUUUGUUUUACACACCUGGUUUCAAUUCCCCAAUUACAUGUUCAUUAUUUAACCCUUUGUUUUCCCCAUGGUUUUUGUGCGUGUUUGUUUUAUGUAUUUCGGUCCUAUUGUGUGGGCUUGGUAUUACUAUAUGUAUUAGGUCAUUUUUUUACUCAUCUCUGCUGUCCUGCACCUGACUCCUCUGCACCAGCUACACCCAGAUAUUUUACAAGAGAGCACCUUCACCUUGUCGUCAUGCCAGAAAUGCCCCCUUAAACCGUAUGAAUAUAUAAAAUGUAAUUUGGUACAACAUGUAAAAGACUAUUGUUUAUGACAUUGUAAACAUGCUGGACAUUAAUAAUGGUGCAAUGAAAAGUAUUGUGUGUGAUCUCUGCUUUGCCUUGCCUCAUUGAAUAAAAUGUAUUUCUAAUAGA
Long non-coding RNA from Oncorhynchus kisutch (coho salmon), 1142 nucleotides. RefSeq lists it as uncharacterized. The record is from RefSeq and is a predicted model, not a curated record. The transcript has 2 exons. NCBI's taxonomy places the organism in Eukaryota, Metazoa, Chordata, Actinopteri, Salmoniformes, Salmonidae.